RNAcentral lists this ribosomal RNA (249 nucleotides) under uncultured bacterium. RNAcentral's name for it is "partial 16S ribosomal RNA". It matches the Rfam family "Bacterial small subunit ribosomal RNA", at positions 524 to 776 of the family's 1533-position model. The record is from RNAcentral.
UACGGGGGGGCAAGCGUUGUUCGGAAUUACUGGGCGUAAAGAGCUUGUAGGCGGUUUGUCGCGUCUGCCGUGAAAAUUCGAGGCUCAACCUCGAACUUGCGGUGGGUACGGCAGACUAGAGUGUGGUAGGGGAGACUGGAAUUCCUGGUGUAGCGGUGAAAUGCGCAGAUAUCAGGAGGAACACCGAUGGCGAAGGCAGGUCUCUGGCCACUACUGACGCUGAGAAGCGAAAGCAUGGGAGCGAACAGG